GAUAUAUUUUAAAUUGAACUUCUAAUUCAAUAUUAGUGAUUUUAAUUUUAAUCACAUAUAUUU
Molecule: transfer RNA, 63 nt
Filed under: Tapinoma ibericum
Lineage: Eukaryota; Metazoa; Arthropoda; Insecta; Hymenoptera; Formicidae
Also listed under: 2 other names
Description: tRNA-Ser
Source: RNAcentral